This 469-nucleotide ribosomal RNA is filed under the name uncultured bacterium. RNAcentral's name for it is "bacterial SSU rRNA". It matches the Rfam family "Bacterial small subunit ribosomal RNA", at positions 355 to 822 of the family's 1533-position model. The record is from RNAcentral.
UCGGGAAUAUUGGACAAUGGGCGAAAGCCUGAUCCAGCCAUGCCGCGUGUGUGAAGAAGGUCUUCGGAUUGUAAAGCACUUUAAGUUGGGAGGAAGGGCAGUAACCUAAUACGUUGCUGUCUUGACGUUACCGACAGAAUAAGCACCGGCUAACUCUGUGCCAGCAGCCGCGGUAAUACAGAGGGUGCAAGCGUUAAUCGGAAUUACUGGGCGUAAAGCGCGCGUAGGUGGUUUGUUAAGUUGGAUGUGAAAUCCCCGGGCUCAACCUGGGAACUGCAUUCAAAACUGACAAGCUAGAGUAUGGUAGAGGGUGGUGGAAUUUCCUGUGUAGCGGUGAAAUGCGUAGAUAUAGGAAGGAACACCAGUGGCGAAGGCGACCACCUGGACUGAUACUGACACUGAGGUGCGAAAGCGUGGGGAGCAAACAGGAUUAGAUACCCGAGUAGUCCCUGAGCGGGCUGGCAAGGCG